UAAGCGGAGGAAAAGAAACUAACAAGGAUUCCCCUAGUAACGGCGAGUGAACCGGGAAGAGCUCAAAUUUGAAAUCUGGCGUGCUCAGUGCGUCCGAGUUGUAAUCUAUAGAGACGUUUUCCGUGCCGGACCGUGUCCAAGUCCCUUGGAACAGGGUAUCAAAGAGGGUGACAAUCCCGUACUUGACACGACGACCGGUGCUCUGUGAUACGUCUUCUACGAGUCGAGUUGUUUGGGAAUGCAGCUCAAAAUGGGUGGUGAGUUCCAUCUAAAGCUAAAUAUUGGCGAGAGACCGAUAGCGAACAAGUACCGUGAGGGAAAGAUGAAAAGCACUUUGGAAAGAGAGUUAAACAGUACGUGAAAUUGUUGAAAGGGAAACGAUUGAAGUCAGUCGUGACUGAGAGGCUCAGCCGGUUCUGCCGGUCUAUUCCCCUCAGUCGGGUCAACAUCAGUUUUGUCCGGUGGAUAAGGGCAGCAGGAAGGUGGCACCCUCGGGUGUGUUAUAGCCUGUUGUCGCAUACAUCGGAUGAGACUGAGGAAUGCAGCUCGCCUUUAUGGCCGGGGUUCGCCCACGUCCGAGCUUAGGAUGUUGACAUAAUGGCUUUAAACGACCCGUCUUGAAACACG
RNAcentral lists this ribosomal RNA (627 nucleotides) under Papiliotrema fusca (nom. inval.). RNAcentral's name for it is "eukaryotic LSU rRNA". It matches the Rfam family "Eukaryotic large subunit ribosomal RNA", at positions 47 to 663 of the family's 3401-position model. The record is from RNAcentral. Lineage: Eukaryota; Fungi; Basidiomycota; Tremellomycetes; Tremellales; Rhynchogastremaceae.